RNAcentral lists this long non-coding RNA (1486 nucleotides) under Eutrema salsugineum. RNAcentral's name for it is "long non-coding RNA (ESAL_LNC000719)". The record is from RNAcentral. Lineage: Eukaryota; Viridiplantae; Streptophyta; Magnoliopsida; Brassicales; Brassicaceae.
UUUAUAAGUUUACACAGAUUUUCAUUCAAAAUUUUAGUCAUUAGGUUAUUUUUCAUUUCCAGCCGAUUUUCAUUCGAGUUUUAGAUUAGAUUUUCUUUAGUUUUUCCAGCCGAUUUUCUUAAAUACUUUUCCUUUUUUCCUUUAGUUUAGAAUUUACAUUUUAGUGACAACCCAAAACCUCUUUAAAUUUCGACCAGUUCUAAACUUCCUUACUUCAUAUUUCUUUCAAAAGCUUUUGAAGAAAAUUAUUAUUUUUCCCUGUGGAUUCGAUUUCUAAGUACUACAAUCGAUUAGCUGUGCACUUGCGGCUUUAUUGAUUUCUAUUAAGGUAAAACUUGUUCCCGCACACAACACCACAUCACAUAUUCGUUGUCAAUUAUUUUUGUUCGCAGUUAGUGACUAGCAAAUCCAUGCAAUUUGAGUUCAGUGACCCCUUGUCACCUAGGCGGAAAGAGAGAAAUUACUCACGGGUUUAAAGGUGACAUCAGCAAUGCCAACAUAUGUUACAUCGUAUUUUUGGUUACCCAAACUUAUAACUACAAAAUUAACUAGUGUAAUGGCGUUGUUCUGGUAGAUUUCAAAUAGCCAACAAAAAAAUGCAUUAGUUUGCGUAAAAAAAAUUAUGUUACAGUAAAUCAGAUAGGGAAUUGCCUUUCAAACAGUAGAUGUCUUUAAUACUACUUAUGUCAAAACAAUUAUAAUAUCUAUGGACAAACUGGAUUUAUUGUUUGUGUGAUUUUUUAAGGGUUGAUAUUUUUGAAUAAUAGACCCCUUCGAUUCUAUAUGGUAUUACUCCCAUCAUAUGGAUAGAGGAGCAUUAUAUCGGCUAACCUAUAGUUAAAAAAGGACUAGUAAAAAAAGUUGGUUCAGGUUGUUCUAUUUUAGUAUAGAAUAAUCUUUAAAUACCAUCUAUUCGCCGAGGUCAACAACAUGUAGAGGACAUAAUUAUUACCCAAAUCUUAUGGUCAAUAUAUCAUCUGAUUGGCCCAGUGACAAAUAUGUAGAAUGGAGGAUUGAUAAACGCAGUUAUUAACUCGAAUGAUAUGAAAAUUAUUCAUAGCAUGCCUAUAAAAUAAUUAUAGACCAGAUACACUCAGAUGAAACUUAACAAAAUGAUGUAGGCACCAGGGGUGAUGCUACAAGAGUGGUGAGAUGGAGUGCAACAAUUGGCCGAUGGGCUCGCCUUGUAUGCACUAAGAGAUGAUGAUAUGGAGAUGGAUCGAGAUGAGGCAAAGAUAAUUGGCUGAUGGGCUCUCCUUAUCUUCACAAAGUAAUGAGAUGGAAAGUGAAACGAGUGAUGGAGUGAAUCGAUGCCACAAAGCUUAUGGGCUAGAUUUGAUAAGUCAAGUUGAAUCCAAAGAGAAAGGGGAAACCACACAAACUCCGAAAAUAAGCAUAAAGCUUAAAACUAGAGAACUCUCAUAUCUUAAUUCAUUUUCAAGUCUGUCUAUUACAAAUGAAAUGAGUGAGCUUAUAAAGAAGUCUC